Long non-coding RNA from Passer domesticus (house sparrow), 1295 nucleotides. RefSeq lists it as uncharacterized. The transcript is spliced from 3 exons. Lineage: Eukaryota; Metazoa; Chordata; Aves; Passeriformes; Passeridae. The record is from RefSeq and is a predicted model, not a curated record.
GGAUGUCCCGUGUGCUGCGACUGAGCCCUUCCAGACAGUGACUCUUCCAGUGCAACAUGUGGAGUGCUGAUGUCACAGCCACCUUAUCCCUCCUCUAGCAUCUAAUUUAGAGUACCUUGCAGCUCCAACACAGAAACAUUGCACUUCCCACUCCUGUAUUGACAGAAAGUCUUAGGGUAUCAAAAUGCCAGCAGAAUAUUCAGCAGCUAAUAGGUGCAAGGAUGAGCAAAAUAAAAUAACUAGGAUCAGUGGGAGCAAGCUAACCUUAUUCUGUCAGGAAAGACGAUGUUACAAAGCAGAGCAGAUUGCCAAGAGAGCAAAUGAAGGGAUGGCACCAUAAGCAGCUGUCAAACUUGGAUUCUUGGAGAAGAACAGUCUGACCACCAGCAAAGCCGACAGAAAUACUUGGCUUUGAGUUAUUUUCUCAAGCACCACGGGGAACAGAAAGAGGGAGGGGCUAGUAGUGAAGAAGAUUAUUUUACUCCCUGUUUAGUUUUGUGUACAUGGACAACUUUAAUUUGGAGUUGUUUUUAAUGCACAUAACAUAAAGAAGUCUAAUAUGAUAAAUAUGAAUCAGAUAUUUCCCAAAUGCUGAAAUGAUAUUGUUCAAUUUGAGAAGAACACAGCAUCAUGACAAAGUUGUAACUACCUUUUGUGGUUUGAAUGAACAGUUACCUCAAAAGGAGAGUUAUUCCCAUGCCACAUUAAGUCAUGGGUAUACAAAGACUCAAGCAGCCUGCUCAUUAUGGAAAUUUUGCUACUUGGCUUAGGACUGCCUUCCUAAUUUAUUUCUGUGAGCUUCACCUAUAUGAUUUGUUAAUUCCUUUCAGCUUUUACCUUUGAUAUCUGUUUUGUAUUUCCAAAGGGUCUCAAGAGAUCAGUGUGGUCUCAUGGUUGCUGUUGUGGGUCUCAGGCACACUUAAGUACAGACAGAAGAGAUGCUUUCAAUGAUCCUUCUAACAGCAAUAUAAGUUGUUUCAAUGCUGGUAUGAUACCAAGCAUGUGGAGUGGCAACUUUCCAGUUUUUGAAUGAGCUGGCAGCUAGUAUAGCUCCUUAAUAGAACAACAACAUAUUUUUCUUUCAGAUUUGCUGUUUCUAAAUGUCACUCUUGUAGUGUUGAUUUAUAGAGAUCUUUUCUUGUCAGACACAACCAGAGCAGUAGAUAUAUAUGAAAUAGAUAUUAUAUACUCUAAAAUUUGUGCUUCUCCCCUAGAUUGAAUCAAAAGUUAUGGGAAAACCUUGUAAAAUUUGUCUCCUUUUAGGCCAUUUUAUAAAGUAAAUCAAAUGGCUGGAU